GUGGCUGUGUGUACUCGUGUCUCGAAAGAGGUGUGAGUUGCGGCCGAUACGAGUGUCGAAGCGUGCAGCGUGAGCGCACGUGGAACGGGCACCAGUGCAGAUCUUGGUGGCAGUAGCAAAUAUUCAAGUGAGAACCUUGAAGCCUGAAGCAUGGAGAAGGGUUCCCGGGGAACAGCACUUGGCCCGGGGUCAGGCGGUCCUAAGC
RNAcentral lists this non-coding RNA (205 nucleotides) under Spirochaeta lutea. RNAcentral describes it as "Eukaryotic large subunit ribosomal RNA". It matches the Rfam family "Eukaryotic large subunit ribosomal RNA", at positions 1338 to 1550 of the family's 3401-position model. The record is from Rfam by way of RNAcentral. Lineage: Bacteria; Pseudomonadati; Spirochaetota; Spirochaetia; Spirochaetales; Spirochaetaceae.